UACGGGGGGAGCAAGCGUUGUUCGGAUUUACUGGGCGUAAAGGGCGCGUAGGCGGCCACCGCAAGUCGACUGUGAAAUCUCCGGGCUUAACCCGGAAAGGUCAGCCGAUACUGCGGGGCUAGAGUGCAGAAGGGGCAACUGGAAUUCUCGGUGUAGCGGUGAAAUGCGUAGAUAUCAGGAAGAACACCCGGUGGCGAAGGCGGUUCUCUGGGACGGUACUGACGCUGGAGACGCGAAAGCGUGGGGAGCGAACA
This 254-nucleotide ribosomal RNA is filed under the name uncultured bacterium. RNAcentral describes it as "partial 16S ribosomal RNA". It matches the Rfam family "Bacterial small subunit ribosomal RNA", at positions 524 to 774 of the family's 1533-position model. The record is from RNAcentral.